GCUGGGCGUGGUGGUGCAUUUCUGUAAUCCCAGCAGCUUGGGAGGCUGAGGCAGGAGGAUCACAAAUUCAAAACCAGUCUCAGCAACUUAGUGAGGCCCUAAGUAACUAGUGAGACCUUGUCUCAA
This 126-nucleotide small RNA is filed under the name Marmota monax (woodchuck). Lineage: Eukaryota; Metazoa; Chordata; Mammalia; Rodentia; Sciuridae. The record is from RNAcentral.